This 419-nucleotide ribosomal RNA is filed under the name uncultured bacterium. Its description in RNAcentral is "bacterial SSU rRNA". It matches the Rfam family "Bacterial small subunit ribosomal RNA", at positions 356 to 774 of the family's 1533-position model. The record is from RNAcentral.
AAGGAAUAUUGCUCAAUGGGAGAAAUCCUGAAGCAGCAACGCCGCGUGGAGGAUGAAGGGUCUAUGACUUGUAAACUCCUGUAAAGAAGGAAAAAAUUCCCAUUUGAUGGGAGAUGAUGGUACUUCUGGAGUAAGCCCCGGCUAACUACGUGCCCGCAGCCGCGGUAAUACGUAGGGGGCAAGCGUUGUCCGGAUUUACUGGGUGUAAAGGGUGCUCAGGCGGAUUUGUAAGUCAGAGGUGAAAUCUUACAGCUUAACUGUGAAACUGCCUUUGAUACUGCAAGCCUAGAGUAUGGAAGAGAGUGAUGGAAUAUCUGGUGUAGCAGUGAAAUGCGUAGAUAUCAGAUAGAACACCAAUGGCGAAGGCAGUCACUUGGUCCAUUACUGACGCUAAAGCACGAAAGCGUGGGUAGCAAACA